GACAGAGGGUGCAAACGUUGUUCGGAAUUACUGGGCGUAAAGCGUGUGUAGGCGGUCUCAUAAGUCGGAUGUGAAAGCCCCGGGCUCAACCCGGGAAGUGCACUCGAUACUGCGAGACUUGAGUAUCGGAGAGGUUGGUGGAAUUCUCGGUGUAGAGGUGAAAUUCGUAGAUAUCGAGAGGAACACCGGUGGCGAAAGCGGCCAACUGGACGAAUACUGACGCUGAGACACGAAAGCGUGGGGAGCAAACAGG
RNAcentral lists this ribosomal RNA (253 nucleotides) under uncultured bacterium. RNAcentral's name for it is "partial 16S ribosomal RNA". It matches the Rfam family "Bacterial small subunit ribosomal RNA", at positions 524 to 776 of the family's 1533-position model. The record is from RNAcentral.